Molecule: transfer RNA, 64 nt
Filed under: Cavia porcellus (domestic guinea pig)
Lineage: Eukaryota; Metazoa; Chordata; Mammalia; Rodentia; Caviidae
Rfam family: tRNA
About the family: Transfer RNA (tRNA) molecules are approximately 80 nucleotides in length.
Source: Rfam by way of RNAcentral
GGGGAUUUAGCUCAGUGGCAUAAGCACCUGCCUUGCAUGCAGGGGGUCGUGAGUUCAAUCCCCG